This 947-nucleotide long non-coding RNA is filed under the name Mytilus galloprovincialis (Mediterranean mussel). Lineage: Eukaryota; Metazoa; Mollusca; Bivalvia; Mytilida; Mytilidae. The record is from RNAcentral.
UUUUUCAAUUUCUAGAUCAGCCAGGCAGGGGUGUCCUAUAGCCCCCUUUUUAUAUAUAUUACAGGCAGAGCCCUUGGCCUGUGCAAUAAGGGCAGAAAAGGAAAUUCAAGGCAUUAUAUUGCCUGGGGAAGAAAAUGGGGAGCGAAUAGAAACCAAAUUAAAUAUGUUUGCAGACGACACGCAAUUAUUUAAUAAAAAUGAAAGUUCUGUCAAAAAAUCUUUUGAAAUAUUAGACAAAUAUGAAAAGGUCUCGGGUUCUAAAAUUAAUUACGAAAAGACUAAGGGAAUAAAUAUUGGCGCAAAUAAACGCAGACGACCUACUUUUAAAAAGAUAAGUUGGACAACAGAUAACAUAAAAACACUAGGUAUUCACCAUGGUUAUAACAUUGACAAUGACAAAAUUUGGAAAUUAAUAUUAGAAAAAGUACAAAAUUGUGUACACGUCUGGAAAAGUCGAAAAUUGACUUACUCUGGAAAAGUCCUUAUUAUUAAAAAUUUAAUUAUAUCAGUGUGUGGAUAUGAGUUAGAAAUAAGAGGUAUACCCGAAAAAUACAAAAAAGAAUUGAAUAAGAUAAUAUGGAAUUUAUUUGGGAUGGGAAAGUGAAUCAAGUAGACCGGAAGGUUUGUUGUUUAGAUGUUAAAAAGGGGGGCAUGGGGAUGGUAAAUUUAGAUAGUUGGAUAGAAAGUAAAUAUAUCAAAUCUUUAUAUUCGAUAUUACAUAAGCCAUUAUCUAGUUGGAAUGCAAUAGGUAAAUUUUGGUUAAAAAAAUGUGAUAAGAAAUUUGAGGAUGAACUUUUUCUGUGUAAAUGUUCUGACCUUUCAGGUCUUGAGAUAAAAAACCUACCAUAUUAUUACAAAAGCGCUUUACAAUCGUGGUCAAAAUUGACAAAGAUCACACAGGGUAUAUUUAACGAAAUGGAAGUAAAGAAACAGCGAUUAUUUUGGAA